GUCUCCUUGAAAUAUUAUUUAUGGGGAGUCGAACCUGCCCAGUGACUAGAGAUGUUAAACGGCCGCGGUACCCUAACCGUGCAAAGGUAGCAUAAUCAUUUGCCUUUUAAUUGGAGGCUUGUAUGAAUGGUUUGACGAGAGCCAAGCUGUCUCUUUUUAAAUAACUAGAAAUUAACCUUUAGGUGAAGAGGCCUAAAUUGAGCUGAAUGACAAGAAGACCCUGUUGAGCUUUAGUAUUACUGAAUUUUAGUUUAAUUAUCUUGAUAAUAUAAGGUAAUAUUUACAUUUUCAUGAAAUAGUUUAAUUUGGUGAAUCUUUAGUUGGGGCGACUGAGGAACAAUAAAAGCUUCCUUGAGAAUAUUAUUGUAGAAUGUGCUUAUUAGUGUUUACAGAUUAAAUGAUCCGGCUUUUGCUGAUUAAGGGAAAAAGUUACCACAGGGAUAACAGCGUAAUCUUUCUGGAGAGAUCUUAUCNAANGAAGGGUUUGCGACCUCNAUGUUGGACUAANAUAUCCUAANGGNGUAGNAG
RNAcentral lists this ribosomal RNA (528 nucleotides) under Zethalia zelandica. Its description in RNAcentral is "partial 16S ribosomal RNA". It matches the Rfam family "Bacterial large subunit ribosomal RNA", at positions 1825 to 2561 of the family's 2925-position model. Lineage: Eukaryota; Metazoa; Mollusca; Gastropoda; Trochida; Trochidae. The record is from RNAcentral.